Molecule: long non-coding RNA, 1554 nt
Filed under: Taeniopygia guttata (zebra finch)
Lineage: Eukaryota; Metazoa; Chordata; Aves; Passeriformes; Estrildidae
Description: lncRNA (ENSTGUG00000020086.1)
Source: RNAcentral
CACCUGGGGGCCACCUGACAGGUCCAGCUGACCUUGGCAUGUCCAGGGCUGCUGCUCAUCUGCCCCUGGAGCACUGGGGCUCAGUGCUCUCCUUCCUGUGGAAAGAACUGUCCUUCUCCUCCAGGUGCCCAUGGCCAACAUUUGGAUUCCUCCUCUUAUUUUGCUUUUAUGCAAAGAUUGUUCCCAGAUGAAAUCUGCGAGGACAGACAGACCUGGCUGCCUUGGCCACCCAGGGGCCACCUCUCAUCUGCCUUUGAAACACUGGAACCCUGUGCUUUUCUUUCUUAUGGGAAAAAAGCACCUUUCACAUCCAGACACCCAUGGCCAAAGUUGGGAAUCCGCCUCCAGGAUUCCCUAUAUCCAAGGAUUUCUCCCAGUGAAAGCUUCCAGGAGAGACAAGUCUGGCUGGCCUUGGUUUCCAAGAGCUAAUUCUUAUCUGCCUUUGAAACACUGGGGCUCUGUGCUUUCCUUGCUGAUGAAAAGAACUCUUCUUCCUGCCCAGGUGCCCAUGGCCAAAACUGAGAUUCCACCUUCAAAAUUCUGAAUAUCCAAGGAUUUCCCCCAGAUAAAAGGUGCCAGGAAAAAACAGGUCUGACUCUCUUGGCCUAUGGUGACCACCUCUCAUCUUCUUCCAAAACACCUGGGCUUCACCUGGGCUUUUCUUUCCUAUGGGAAAAACCAUCCAUCUUGACCAGGUGGCCAAAGUUGGGAAUCCUCCUCCAGAAUUCCCUAGAUCCAAAGAUUUCUCAGUGAUGAAAGCUACCAAGACAAACGGGUCUGACUGGCUCAGCCUCUCAGGAGCCACCUCUCUCCUCCUCUGCCUUUGAAACACUGCGGCUCUGGGCUUUCCUUCCUAUGGAAAAGAACCGUCCUUCUUACCAAUGCAGAAAUGGCCAAAAUUUUGGUUCCACCUCCAAAGUUCCUUUAUCCAAGGGUUGCUUUCAGACAAAAGCUACCAGGACAGAGAGGUCUGGCUGCCCUUGGCCUCUGAUAGCCGCGUUUCAUCUGCCCCUGAAACACCGGUGUUCCAUGCUUUUCUUCCUGUGUAAAAGAACUGUCCUUCACCUCCAGGCAACCAGGUCCGAAACUGGUAUUCCACCUCUAAAAUUCCCUAUGUCCAAGGACAAAAUCUGCCAGCACCAUCUGAUCUGGCUGGCCUUGGCCUCUGGUGGAUGAGCCACAGCCCCUGGAACAUUGGGGUUCGCUUGUUCCCUUCCUAUGGAGACCAUGGUGAUACUGUGAGGACCUGGUGGUACUUUCCCUAAAAAAAAUUGCAAUUUGUAAAGGUAUCUCUCAGAACAAUACCUGGCAGCUUUGGCUGGCCUUGUCCUCUAGUGGGCACCUUUCAUCUGCCCCUAAAACAGUGGCACUCUAUUCCUUCAUUCCUGGGGAAAAUAGCUGGUCUUCAUGUCCAGGAACCACAGCAAAAAUAAGAAUUGGCCACCAAGCCUGCCUGGGCUCAUGGAACCAUCUGCAGGCCCCGGGCAGAUAUUGACCCUUCCAGUGCUUCCAUCCUCCCUCCAGUGAGAGAAAAGGACACAGGGCAGGCACACA